CUGACUCAUUAAAGAUACAAUUUUUACAUUAACAAAAACUAAUAAUAGUAAUAGUCAUACAAUUUUUAUUUGCUUACAUUUGAAAAUAUUAAUAUAUCUAACUAUAUUCAUUAUAAUUGGGGCUGCUAUUUAGAAAACUGGAGGAACUUAGCUCCCCCAAGCUCCCCUAGUUGCACCUAUGGUAUAAUAGUAAUACACAUCAAUUAGUUGGAUGUUUAAUAGAUAAUCAUUAAAAAUAAUUACAAACAAUUUGUAAGAUAUUUUUAACAGUGAGAAUGUGAAUGUAUUCCAUAGUAAAACGGUGCAACUACAGAAAUGCUAAUACAUACUUAUAUUUUCAGUGUAGUAAGACAUUUUCCACAGAUACAUUUUUUGAUGCGGACAUCCCCCCCCCCAUACUAAUAGAAAUUAGUUUAUAAAUUAUUUUGUACAUUAUAUAUUAGAUAACAUUUUGGUGCCAUAUUCGACAGUCUACUAUAUUUAUAUUUUAUAACGACCCGACAAAUUUCUCAGUGUAAUCGAAUUAUGAAUUACGAGGACGUGGAAAAUAAUUUUCGAAGCACGUCAAAAAGUCAUCCGACAUUUAACUAGGUACGUCGCGAGAAAUUUUUCGCUCUUUGGCUAUCAUAAUGUUGUCCCUUCCGUCAAAAGCAAAAUAUAUGGUGCCCAAUUUUAAUAUAUAAUUAAUGUAAUGAAUAAUAACAAUUGAAUUUGAUUGUUGAACUUCUGUAGGUUUCAAUAAAAAUUCAAUGAAACUUCCUACUUGUUUAUCA
Cinara cedri is the source of this 773-nucleotide non-coding RNA. The record is from the annotation of a GenBank genome assembly. Lineage: Eukaryota; Metazoa; Arthropoda; Insecta; Hemiptera; Aphididae.